UGAUAACUGGGUGUUAAGCAAGACUUUAGCUCUGAUCCUGUGGUUGACUCAGCAGAGGGCCAAGUCACUGAAAACCUGCUCAAGAAGUUUAACCAUCAACAGGGGUCACCGCAAGCAGAGCAAAGUUGAGAGAGUGCAGAUGCAGACACACCUGCUGGCCAGGGUGCUCAUGUGAGGAUCUCACACUGACUCAACUGUAAAACCUAGGGCGAAUCUUUUCAUCUCUCUGUACCUCAGUUUUCUCACCUAUAUCAUACGUUGUUGGAGAAGGAGAUUUGGCCGAUGUGAGCACACAAACAACCCUAAGAGACAACAAACCAACUUCCAAAGUAUACUUUUAUUGCUAGAUUUUUGCUGGUAUACAAGAUGAAGGGUAAACUGCUAGGUUGCACGAAUUUUUCUCUCAAGCUGAUGUAACUGUUAAAUCUGAGCAAUCACAUCUUGUGGAUAUACUGAUACAUCCUGUGGCCAUAAUAUGUGUUUGACUAUUUUUCCUAUAUUUACUUGUGAUAUAAAUACUGUAAGAUAUACAGAUACAAAAAGUAAUGAGCAUGAGAGAAAUGAUCAGAGAGAGAGAACUAGAUAGAAAUUAAAUUCAGGCAUAAUCUCUGAAAAUGUAAGGGGACUUUUAAUAUGGUUGACUUUCAGUAAACCUUGUGUAAAGGUUUCUGGCUAGAGUUGAUGGCUUCAUUAUGUAUCUCCUGGGGCAUUUGUACCUCAAAUGCUAUUUAUAGCUUUAUGAAGCAGUGUGAACAAAAUUCAUUUGUCUCUAAAGCUUUGCAUUUAGAGUACACCAACUAUUGAGAUGGGGUGAUGAGCGUGAUUAACAGGGCUUACAUGUCCAUCUUAUCUCUACAGUACACAAUAUUAAAAGCCUUGACCGAGAUUUAGACCUUCUGUCAGUCUCUACUCUCUGUAAACUUUGUCACCCCUAACCCUGAAUUUGUACUUUCCUUCGUGUAGGGCCAAAACUGCCUAUUAAUACCUCUAUAAUAUUAUCCACUGCCUCAGCUCGACUUCUUUGAAAUCUUCAUCCACAUCUUCCACUCCUUCAACUCUCAGCAUUUUUGACUCUAGUACAUUGUAGAACACUACUUCCCAGCUACUGCAAAAGAAACAUGACCACAACACUCUCAAUCUGCUUAAACAUCUCCAUUAACUCUAUUCAUUUGAGAAAAUAAUUCAAAAUUGCCUGCCUGGCUUUUAAAAUCCUACAUGUAUUUUGUUCUUCAGUUACCUCUGUUCACCUAAUAUUAGCUGCCUCCAUGCACUUUCAUAAUCUCACCAUUUCUGGUGCAAGAGUUUUCUCUUCUGCAUUUCAGGAAAGGCCUUUCUGUAUAUCUCGGUCUCAUUGAGUCUCUAUUUCAAAAAAUCUCAGACAGAAGAAUGUCCUCCCUUCCCUAUACUUGUUAAUUUUUCUCUUUUUGUUGCUGGAAUUGAUUUAACUCUGCAAUUGCAUUAUUUCAUUUUUAAAGCACCAGGCAACAGUGUGUUCAAAAGAUGUUACAGAAUACAAAGUUGUAAUGUACUGAAACAGGAAAUAAUUUCAGAAUAGGAUGAUUCACCCUCUCUACAACCCCCAACUAAAAAUAAAAAAAGAUGAUUCACUGUAGAAAGUCUAAAUGAGGUUUCUCAAAUUCAUAUGCUCACUGGAUUAUCAUCU
Mauremys reevesii (Reeves's turtle) is the source of this 1663-nucleotide long non-coding RNA. RefSeq lists it as uncharacterized. NCBI's taxonomy places the organism in Eukaryota, Metazoa, Chordata, Testudines, Geoemydidae. The record is from RefSeq and is a predicted model, not a curated record. The transcript is spliced from 3 exons.